AUGGUGAAUGGAUGGAAAGAGAGAACUCUCUCAUUCGGAGGCAAAGAGGCUUUGCUGAAAGCGGUGGCCCAAGCCAUCCCAACUUAUGCGAUGGGUGUAUUUAAAUGCCCGAAGAAAAUUUGCAAGGGAAUCACUGAUGCAAUGUCGCAAUACUGGUGGGGUGAUGAGGAGGACCAACGAAGGAUGCAUUGGUUUGCAUGGUGGAAGAUGUGUAUUCCGAAGGAG
This 225-nucleotide ribosomal RNA is filed under the name Triticum aestivum (bread wheat). Its description in RNAcentral is "partial small subunit ribosomal RNA". Lineage: Eukaryota; Viridiplantae; Streptophyta; Magnoliopsida; Poales; Poaceae. The record is from RNAcentral.